RNAcentral lists this ribosomal RNA (405 nucleotides) under uncultured bacterium. Its description in RNAcentral is "bacterial SSU rRNA". It matches the Rfam family "Bacterial small subunit ribosomal RNA", at positions 355 to 765 of the family's 1533-position model. The record is from RNAcentral.
CUAAGAAUCUUCCUCAAUGGGGGAAACCCUGAAGGAGCGACACUGCGUGCAGGAUGAAGGCCCUUUGGGUUGUAAACUGCUUUUGUAGGGGAGAAAUAACCUUAUGGGAUGAUAGUACCCUACGAAUAAGUCCCGGCUAACUACGUGCCAGCAGCCGCGGUAAAACGUAAGGGGCGAACGUUGCUCGGAAUUACUGGGCGUAAAGGGCCGGUAGGUGGCUUUAUAAGUCAGUUGUCAAAUACCCAUGCUCAACGUGGGAGAGGCGACUGAUACUGUAGAGCUUGAGUAGAAGAGGGGAUGACGGAAUACCCGGUGUAGGGGUGAAAUCUGUUGAUAUCGGGUAGAACACCGAUGGCGAAAGCGGUCAUCUAGCUUCAUACUGACACUCAACGGCGAAAGCCAGGG